GGUACUGGAGAGUGGCGCACGGGUGAGUAACGCGUGGGGACCUACCUCUUAGUGGGGGAUAACGGUUGGAAACGACCGCUAAUACCGCAUACGCCCUUCGGGGGAAAGAUUUAUCGCUAAGAGAUGGACCCGCGUUGGAUUAGAUAGUUGGUGAGGUAACGGCUCACCAAGUCAGCGAUCCAUAGCUGGUUUGAGAGGAUGAUCAGCCACACUGGGACUGAGACACGGCCCAGACUCCUACGGGAGGCAGCAGUGGGGAAUAUUGGACAAUGGGGGCAACCCUGAUCCAGCCAUGCCGCGUGAGUGAAGAAGGCCUUCGGGUUGUAAAGCUCUUUCAGAUGCGAAGAUGA
Molecule: ribosomal RNA, 350 nt
Filed under: Thalassospira sp. Ar-38
Lineage: Bacteria; Pseudomonadati; Pseudomonadota; Alphaproteobacteria; Rhodospirillales; Thalassospiraceae
Description: bacterial SSU rRNA
Rfam family: Bacterial small subunit ribosomal RNA
Source: RNAcentral